CGCACAUUGCGCCCUUUGGUAUUCCAAAGGGCAUGCCUGUUCGAGCGUCAUUUGUACCCUCAAGCUUUGCUUGGUGUUGGGCGUUUUUGUCUUGUGCAGCAAGACUCGCCUUAAAACGAUUGGCAGCCGGCCUACUGGUUUCGGAGCGCAGCACAUUUUUUGCGCUUGCAACCAGCAAAAGAGGCCGGCACUCCAUCAAGUCCUCUUUCUCACAUUUUGACCUCGGAUCAGGUAGGGAUACCCGCUGAACUUAA
Molecule: unclassified non-coding RNA, 254 nt
Filed under: Bipolaris sp.
Lineage: Eukaryota; Fungi; Ascomycota; Dothideomycetes; Pleosporales; Pleosporaceae
Description: partial contains 5.8S ribosomal RNA, internal transcribed spacer 2, and large subunit ribosomal RNA
Source: RNAcentral